AGAGAGAGACAUGCGCGCAUAUCAAUAAGCGGAGGAAAAGAAACUAACAAGGAUUCCCCUAGUAACGGCGAGUGAAGCGGGAAGAGCUCAAAUUUGAAAUCUUAAAGGGUUUCCCUUUACGAAUUGUAGUUUAAAGAAGUGUUUUCUGUUGAGGUUUUGGUAAAAGUUCUUUGGAAUAGGACAUUAUAGAGGGUGAGAAUCCCGUAUUUGACCUUUACUUUCAACUUUGUGAUACACUUUCAAAGAGUCGGAUUGUUUGGGAAUGCAGUCCAAAAUGGGUGGUAAAUUUCAUCUAAAGCUAAAUAUUGGCGAGAGACCGAUAGCGAACAAGUACCGUGAGGGAAAGAUGAAAAGAACUUUGAAAAGAGAGUUAAACAGUACGUGAAAUUGUCAAAAGGGAAGCGUUUGACACCAGUGUUGUUUUUCUGAAAAUCAAUUAAAGAACUGUUUAUGCUAAGCUGUUUAGACUUUAUCAGCUAUCUGUUUAGUUUUGAGCUUUUCUUUAAUGCACUUUUCAGUUAACAAGUCAACAUCAAUUUCUUUUGCUGUAAAAAAGCUUGAGGAAGGUGGCUUGAGAUUCGUCUUAAGUGUUUAUAGCCUCUUGCCUAUGCAGUCGGAGAGAUUGAGGUCUGCAGCGUAGAUCCUUCGGGGCUAAAUGCAUUUGUGCUAAGUUAUAGCAUUUUAUAGACAACUUGUUGACUAUGAUUCGUCUUGUAGCUUACUCGCUUAUGUUAUUUUACCUACGCUUAGGAUGUUGACGCAUGAGAUAUACGC
This 774-nucleotide ribosomal RNA is filed under the name uncultured Neocallimastigales. Its description in RNAcentral is "partial large subunit ribosomal RNA". It matches the Rfam family "Eukaryotic large subunit ribosomal RNA", at positions 23 to 647 of the family's 3401-position model. Lineage: Eukaryota; Fungi; Neocallimastigomycota; Neocallimastigomycetes; Neocallimastigales. The record is from RNAcentral.